This 460-nucleotide ribosomal RNA is filed under the name uncultured bacterium. Its description in RNAcentral is "bacterial SSU rRNA". It matches the Rfam family "Bacterial small subunit ribosomal RNA", at positions 1 to 507 of the family's 1533-position model. The record is from RNAcentral.
CAGUAGUCACGUAGUUGUCAUGGCUCAGAACGAACGCUGGCGGCAUGCCUAACACAUGCAAGUCGAACGAGACCUUCGGGUCUAGUGGCGCACGGGUGCGUAACACGUGGGAAUUUGCUCGGGGUAUGUAAUAACUCAGGGAAACUUGAGCUAAUACCAUAUAAUGUCUUCGGACCAAAGAUUUAUCGCCUUUAGAUGGGCCCGCGUUGGAUUAGCUAGUUGGUGGGGUAAAGGCCUACCAAGGCGACGAUCCAUAGCUGGUCUGAGAGGAUGAUCAGCCACACUGGGACUGAGACACGGCCCAGACUCCUACGGGAGGCAGCAGUGGGGAAUAUUGGACAAUGGGCGAAAGCCUGAUCCAGCAAUGCCGCGUGAGUGAUGAAGGCCUUAGGGUUGUAAAGCUCUUUUACCCGAGAUGAUAAUGACAGUAUCGGGAGAAUAAGCUCCGGCUAACUCCGUG